UUUAAUUGAAGAGUUUGAUCAUGGCUCAGAUUGAACGCUGGCGGCAGGCCUAACACAUGCAAGUCGAGCGGCAGCGACAACAUUGA
Molecule: ribosomal RNA, 86 nt
Filed under: Grimontia sedimenti
Lineage: Bacteria; Pseudomonadati; Pseudomonadota; Gammaproteobacteria; Vibrionales; Vibrionaceae
Description: Grimontia sp. S25 partial 16S ribosomal RNA
Rfam family: Bacterial small subunit ribosomal RNA
Source: RNAcentral